AGCUUGCUACCUGACCUAGCGGCGGACGGGUGAGUAAUGCUUAGGAAUCUGCCUAUUAGUGGGGGACAACAUUCCGAAAGGAAUGCUAAUACCGCAUACGCCCUACGGGGGAAAGCAGGGGAUCUUCGGACCUUGCGCUAAUAGAUGAGCCUAAGUCAGAUUAGCUAGUUGGUGGGGUAAAGGCCUACCAAGGCGACGAUCUGUAGCGGGUCUGAGAGGAUGAUCCGCCACACUGGGACUGAGACACGGCCCAGACUCCUACGGGAGGCAGCAGUGGGGAAUAUUGGACAAUGGGCGAAAGCCUGAUCCAGCCAUGCCGCGUGUGUGAAGAAGGCCUUUUGGUUGUAAAGCACUUUAAGCGAGGAGGAGGCUACUUGGAUUAAUACUCUAGGAUAGUGGACGUUACUCGCAGAAUAAGCACCGGCUAACUCUGUGCCAGCAGCCGCGGUAAUACAGAGGGUGCGAGCGUUAAUCGGAUUUACUGGGCGUAAAGCGUGCGUAGGCGGCUUCUUAAGUCGGAUGUGAAAUCCCUGAGCUUAACUUAGGAAUUGCAUUCGAUACUGGGAAGCUAGAGUAUGGGAGAGGAUGGUAGAAUUCCAGGUGUAGCGGUGAAAUGCGUAGAGAUCUGGAGGAAUACCGAUGGCGAAGGCAGCCAUCUGGCCUAAUACUGACGCUGAGGUACGAAAGCAUGGGGAGCAAACAGGAUUAGAUACCCUGGUAGUCCAUGCCGUAAACGAUGUCUACUAGCCGUUGGGGCCUUUGAGGCUUUAGUGGCGCAGCUAACGCGAUAAGUAGACCGCCUGGGGAGUACGGUCGCAAGACUAAAACUCAAAUGAAUUGACGGGGGCCCGCACAAGCGGUGGAGCAUGUGGUUUAAUUCGAUGCAACGCGAAGAACCUUACCUGGUCUUGACAUAGUAAGAACUUUCCAGAGAUGGAUUGGUGCCUUCGGGAACUUACAUACAGGUGCUGCAUGGCUGUCGUCAGCUCGUGUCGUGAGAUGUUGGGUUAAGUCCCGCAACGAGCGCAACCCUUUUCCUUAUUUGCCAGCGGGUUAAGCCGGGAACUUUAAGGAUACUGCCAGUGACAAACUGGAGGAAGGCGGGGACGACGUCAAGUCAUCAUGGCCCUUACGACCAGGGCUACACACGUGCUACAAUGGUCGGUACAAAGGGUUGCUACCUAGCGAUAGGAUGCUAAUCUCAAAAAGCCGAUCGUAGUCCGGAUUGGAGUCUGCAACUCGAC
Molecule: ribosomal RNA, 1244 nt
Filed under: uncultured Acinetobacter sp.
Lineage: Bacteria; Pseudomonadati; Pseudomonadota; Gammaproteobacteria; Moraxellales; Moraxellaceae
Description: bacterial SSU rRNA
Rfam family: Bacterial small subunit ribosomal RNA
Source: RNAcentral